GAUGAACGUUGGCGGUGUGCCUAACACAUGCAAGUCGAACGCUGGUAGCAAUAUCAGAGUGGCGCACGGGUGAGUAACACGUAGCUUACCUACCUCAAAGCGCGGGAUAACGUUCCGAAAGGAAUGCUAAUACCGCAUAAGCUCGCGGUCUGUAGAGGGCUGAGAGAAAAGGGGCAACUCACUUUGUAGAUGGGCGUGCGGCCCGACUCAGCUGGUUGGUGAGGUAACGGCUUACCAAGGCAACGACGGUA
This 251-nucleotide ribosomal RNA is filed under the name uncultured bacterium. RNAcentral describes it as "partial 16S ribosomal RNA". It matches the Rfam family "Bacterial small subunit ribosomal RNA", at positions 28 to 285 of the family's 1533-position model. The record is from RNAcentral.